Molecule: transfer RNA, 87 nt
Organism: Podospora anserina
Lineage: Eukaryota; Fungi; Ascomycota; Sordariomycetes; Sordariales; Podosporaceae
Rfam family: tRNA
About the family: Transfer RNA (tRNA) molecules are approximately 80 nucleotides in length. Their secondary structure includes four short double-helical elements and three loops (D, anti-codon, and T loops). Further hydrogen bonds mediate the characteristic L-shaped molecular structure. tRNAs have two regions of fundamental functional importance: the anti-codon, which is responsible for specific mRNA codon recognition, and the 3' end, to which the tRNAs corresponding amino acid is attached (by aminoacyl-tRNA synthetases). tRNAs cope with the degeneracy of the genetic code in two manners: having more than one tRNA (with a specific anti-codon) for a particular amino acid; and 'wobble' base-pairing, i.e. permitting non-standard base-pairing at the 3rd anti-codon position.
Source: Rfam
GGUCCGCUGGCGUAAUGGCAGCGCGUCUGACUACGAUUUUCUAAUCAAUAUAUCAGGAGGUUCCAGGUUCGACCCCUGGGCGGAUCG